UACGAAGGGAGCUAGCGUUUUUCGGAAUUACUGGGCGUAAAGGGCGCGUAGGCGGUUUGUUAUGUCAGAUGUGAAAGCCCCGGGCUUAACCUGGGAACUGCAUUUGAAACUGGCAAACUAGAGAUCGAGAGAGGAAAGCGGAAUUACAAGUGUAGAGGUGAAAUUCGUAGAUAUUUGUAAGAACACCGGUGGCGAAGGCGGCUUUCUGGCUCGAUACUGACGCUAAGGCGCGAAAGCGUGGGGAGCAAACAGG
Molecule: ribosomal RNA, 253 nt
Filed under: uncultured bacterium
Lineage: Bacteria
Description: partial 16S ribosomal RNA
Rfam family: Bacterial small subunit ribosomal RNA
Source: RNAcentral